Molecule: ribosomal RNA, 157 nt
Filed under: uncultured Rhizopogon
Lineage: Eukaryota; Fungi; Basidiomycota; Agaricomycetes; Boletales; Rhizopogonaceae
Description: 5.8S ribosomal RNA
Rfam family: 5.8S ribosomal RNA
About the family: 5.8S ribosomal RNA (5.8S rRNA) is a component of the large subunit of the eukaryotic ribosome.
Source: RNAcentral
CAACUUUCAGCAAUGGAUCUCUUGGCUCUCGCAUCGAUGAAGAACGCAGCGAAACGCGAUAUGUAAUGUGAAUUGCAGAUCUACAGUGAAUCAUCGAAUCUUUGAACGCACCUUGCGCUCCUUGGUAUUCCGAGGAGCAUGCCUGUUUGAGUGUCAG